GGACGGAAUAAAUAUGGACGUCCUUUGGACGUCCGACGUUGAACGUCCUUUGGACGUCCAUACUGGACGAAAUACGGACGUUUUAUGAACGCUUAUAUAUUUUAUAUUGGACACAUUAUUACGGGAUCAAAUAGCAAAAUAAUUCAAUAAAAUAUUAACUUACGCGUUAACUUUACGUUAAUGAAAUACAGUCAAACCUGUCAGUAACGGCCACUAAAAUGAAAGAACUAUUGGCCGAUAUAGAAAGGUGGCCGUUAUUACCAGUUUUUGUAGUCUAGAUAUACAGUAAAACUUGUGUUACUGGCCACCUGAUAAAAUCGGCCACCUGUACUAACGGCCGGUUUAAAUAUUCCCCAAACCAAUUAUAUCUGGACUACAAAAACUGGCAAUACCGGUCACCUUUCUAUAUCGGCCAAUAGCUUUUUCAUUUUUAGUGGCCGUUACUGACAGGUUUUACUGUAAUUGGUUUGGGGAAUUUUUAAACUGACCGUUAGUACAGGUGGCCGGUGUUUGCAGGGGGCCGGUAACACAGGUUUUACUGUAGUUUAAAUCGAAAAGAUUAAAUCUUAAUUCAAAAUUGUAUAUACAAUUAUUACAAUUAUAAACAAACUAUAUAGUUUAAUAUCCAAAACAUGUUUUUGAUUUUAUGUAAUGUAAUGAAAAUCUUAUUUGUAAAUUAUUGGUUACAAUGUUUAACAAUAGGAAAUAUUCAAGAAUAAAUAAAAUAAAAGUUUAAUCCUAACAACACAAAACAUUCCAGGAAUAUAGGUACUACCGUUCUAUUCCGUGAACAUCUAUCUGAUUAAAUUAUGGGUGGAAAGUUACCACAAGAUAUUCUAUGAACAUAGUACAAUGGGUGCGUUCGGACGACCACAGCGGCUGGACAGCUGAGCCAGCAGUAGCUGUCAGACGUCACCGCUGGAAGCCAGCCGCUGAGAGAUUUACUAAGCUUUCCCUAUCACGGCUGGAUGCAACCACUCAGCCGAUUUCUGCUGGCAGCCAGCCGCUAUGGUCGUCCGAACGCACCCAAUGUCUUCCUGGAGGGGUAAAAUUUUCCAUUACAAGAUUUUAAGAGAGGCCAUUUACUGUUCAAUUUGCGUUCAUUUUCAAAUUUGCCGCGCGAGUAUCUAUGUAGCGUCGCGUGGUCAUUGGUCAUCACAUUUCAUUUUCAUAAGAUAAAAGAUAACCGAUAACCUAAAAAUUUAGUAAAAAUUUUGAUUGGAAAAAAAUGCAUCGAUAAGGGGGUGUGGGAAAUGGAAAUUAGUGGCUUUUCUGCUGUACUGUCUGCUAGUCAAAUCACACAACACUUUUUUCUAUGCUGCUAGUUUUUGCUCUGUGCUCUGGCUGGAUCUCUUGUUUAAACAAUUUUGUAAGUAUUAUAAAAUCCGUUUUCAAUUUUCUUUAUUCUUUAUGAAACGAAUCAUUUAUGCAUGCAUAUUAUUAUCUGUAAAUAGUACCUAUUUUUUUUGAUUUUUAAUUGUAAAGAAUAGAAAAAUUACCCUUCAUUUUAAUUUUUUUUAGAAUCAGCUGAAAGUGGCCUACAAAAAAAAACCAAGAAGGAAAUAUAUAGCCUUGUGGCUAUGAAAGGCAAAAGAGAGAUAUAAAAAGUGUAUUGGCUAGUUGGAAGAAAGUCCACAUUGUCCAUGCAUAAUAAGUUAUUACUUUAUCAACAAAUAUCAAGAAGAUAGCAGGGUCAGGAGCAACAACUUCAUAAGUUCAAGAAUAUCGAGGAAAUCCAGCUCCUCGAUACUACUGGGCAAACUAGAAGAUUGAAGAGGACAAAGCCUUUUGAACUAGUUUGAGUGAUAGGUGAUAGUGAAAAACGGAGCAUAGUGCUUGUGUGCUGUGCCUGUGUAUGUUAAAAUAGUGCACGAUCUUGUUAGAUUAGAUAAGAGACGCUAUGGGGUAAGCUCUUCAUUUUAAGAAACAGUAGUAAUUUAGGUUAAAUUAAAAUUGCUCAUUGGUCAGUUAUGACCAGAUUGUUUUUUAUGUUUGGCAAAAAGGACUUAAGUCAGAAUUGCACAUUGAUAAUGUUUUGAUGAUUUCUGGACCAGAAAAAAACUGUUGUAGAUGUAAACUGUACCCUAACAACACACAACAUUCCAGGAAUGUACUACCAAAGUUCUAUCAAUAUUUGAAUGUCCUGGACAUUUAGGGAACAUUCGGUGAACAUCUGAUUAAAUUAUUCCUGGAAUGUUACCAUAAGACAUUCUGUGAACAUACUACCAAUGUUCCUAUAUUUUAAGUUGCGAAAUAAUACAUACGUGUAAGAGAUACAACAUUACUUAUAACAUACCAGACAAACUAAGUGACAUUUUAGGCCUACAGUGCAAUAAUAUGUCAAAUUUAAAGAGUUUCCCAAGUUCAAUGAAUACAAUAUUAUAAACAUACAAAUGUAAUAAAAAUUAUUGUUCGCGAAUAUUCAAUUUGGAAUGCGAUUUUGUUAAUAAAAAAAAUACUUAUAACUUAUGCAAAACCCAAGCGAGGCAUUUAUAUUUAUUUCUUUUGCGUUCAUUUUCAAAUUCGCCGUGCAUAUAUGUUUGUGCAUGGCGCUUGAGAGGGCAUCACGUGACUAAAAACGACCAACCAACGACCUCGCUUCGGCCAUCUUGGCAUCUUCAUCUUGGCGACCUUGCCGUUGCCCGGCCUUGCCUUGCCGUGGAUUGUUGUUUGUAUUUUGUAUUAUUUGUGCUUUUUAAGAAUAUUUUUUUAAUUCGGAUACUUUUAUAAUAGCUUUAAUAGUAUUAUUAACAUAGUGCAUAAAAUGGUGUCCUGUUUUUAACGCAGUUGGAGUAGCAGAAACAAAUGUAGAUAAAAAAAUCUGCAGGAAUAACGUUUCAAUUAUGACAGAAGCUCAAAACAAAUGACUGUGAAUGAAAAGCCCUAUUAAAAGCUUUCCAGAAGAUCCUGCGAAGAAGACAAGAAAGUAUAGAUUAGAUUUGUUAAUAGAGGAGUAUGUUCAAAACACUUUUUAGAAAAAGAUAUUGACAGAACUUCACUUUCAUCUGUUCGUUUGAGAGACUGUGCUGUUCCAAUAGCUUAUGUCACACAGAAUCAGCUGAGAGAAGUGGUCUACAAAAAACCAGAAAGGAAACGGAAUAUGUGGCUACGAAAAGCAAAAGAAAGGUUUACAAAGCAAAUGUGACACAUUUUUUUAUAAUAUUUAGGAAUGUCAGCAAAUUACAUUAAAAAAUGUAUGUAAAGAUUUUUUGCAAUAAAAAUGUUUAUAUUUAUCAAGGAUGUAUUAUUUGGU
Molecule: long non-coding RNA, 3253 nt
Filed under: Diabrotica virgifera virgifera (western corn rootworm)
Lineage: Eukaryota; Metazoa; Arthropoda; Insecta; Coleoptera; Chrysomelidae
Description: uncharacterized LOC126892302
Source: RNAcentral